Molecule: long non-coding RNA, 379 nt
Organism: Harpegnathos saltator (Jerdon's jumping ant)
Lineage: Eukaryota; Metazoa; Arthropoda; Insecta; Hymenoptera; Formicidae
Exons: 2
Source: RefSeq, a predicted model, not a curated record
CGGGCAGAUGAGACUCCAGUUGUCCACCUGGUCUAGUGUUUGCGGCGAGACGAAGUUCCGUAUGCAAAUCGCCCAACAGCUGCGUUAUUUUGGGAUCGCACUGCAAUCAAUAUUUGAGCUAUCAUAGUAUAUGCAUAUGGACACACCGUGAAAAUGUAAAUACUGAAAGCCCUUGGAGGUACCUCGCUGUCCGAUCGAAGUGACAAAAGAUCGUCGACGCGAAUCGGCUUCCCCUGAUUCAAAGAGUUCGUGAGGAAUAUCAGUCUCCGGGCGAGAUUAUCUUCCACGCACAUCUCCAAUGCCUGAUUAUCUCCCUUCAGAUUCGACGAGCGUGGCUUGAUGGGCGGCGGGCUGUUAUAGUAGUAUGACGAUGGAGAAA